UAUCAUCCCUUGCUAAUAUCAU
RNAcentral lists this microRNA (22 nucleotides) under Populus tomentosa. RNAcentral's name for it is "Pto-N12". Lineage: Eukaryota; Viridiplantae; Streptophyta; Magnoliopsida; Malpighiales; Salicaceae. The record is from RNAcentral.